GAUCCUGGCUCAGAGCGAACGUUAGCGGCAGGGCUUAACACAUGCAAGUCGAGCGAGAAAGUGGGCUUCGGCCCGCGAGUAAAGCGGCGGACGGGUGAGUAACACGUGGGUAAUCUGCCCUUCGGUGGGGGACAACAACCCGAAAGGGUUGCUAAUACCGCAUUCGUCAGCGAGGUCCGAGGGCCUUGUUGGGAAAGCUGGGGAUGCUUCGGCACCUGGCGCCGAGGGAGGAGCCCGCGUCGCAUCAGCUAGUUGGUGAGGUAAUGGCUCACCAAGGCGAAGACGCGUAGCUGGUCUGAGAGGAUGAUCAGCCACACUGGGACUGAGACACGGCCACGACUCCUACGGGAGGCAGCAGUGGGGAAUAUUGGACAAUGGGGGCAACCCUGAUCCAGCUAUGCCGCGUGAGUGAUGAAGGCCUUCGGGUCGUAAAGCUCUGUGGAGAGGGAAGAAUGGCCGGCGAUUAAUACUCGGCGGUUUGACGGUACCUCUUUAGCAAGCACCGGCUAACUCCGUGCCAGCAGCCGCGGUAA
RNAcentral lists this ribosomal RNA (533 nucleotides) under uncultured delta proteobacterium. RNAcentral describes it as "bacterial SSU rRNA". It matches the Rfam family "Bacterial small subunit ribosomal RNA", at positions 15 to 523 of the family's 1533-position model. Lineage: Bacteria; Deltaproteobacteria. The record is from RNAcentral.